AACAAGGCGUACCUGCGGACCUGCGGAAGGAUCAUUACCGAGUUUACAACUCCCAAACCCCUGUGAACAUACCACUUGUUGCCUCGGCGGAUCAGCCCGCUCCCGGUAAAACGGGACGGCCCGCCAGAGGACCCCUAAACUCUGUUUCUAUAUGUAACUUCUGAGUAAACCAUAAAUAAAUCAAAACUUUCAACAACGGAUCU
RNAcentral lists this unclassified non-coding RNA (203 nucleotides) under soil metagenome. Its description in RNAcentral is "partial contains 5.8S ribosomal RNA, internal transcribed spacer 2, and large subunit ribosomal RNA". The record is from RNAcentral.